This 3132-nucleotide long non-coding RNA is filed under the name Homo sapiens (human). RNAcentral describes it as "long independently transcribed non-coding RNA 2773, transcript variant 1 (LINC02773)". The record is from RNAcentral. Lineage: Eukaryota; Metazoa; Chordata; Mammalia; Primates; Hominidae.
AGCUGUCCCCGGGCUGCCUGGGAGUCACUGGGGAGUCCUAGCCCGCCCUUGGGCCUAGGGCUCCCUGAUGCGGCCUCCACUCUUCGCAGGGCCAGGGGGCGAGGAAGGAGGAGGGAGGGAAGAGGGAAGCUGGGGAGUGGGAGAGCGUCCUCCACGACCGCUUGGGUCCUCCGCGGGGCAGCCUCGGGGAGGGUGGCUGCAGGGCCCGGAGUCGCCUGGAUCGCAGCGCCAUCUCGUGGCUGCUGGCAGGUCUGCCUUGGGCCCUCUUGGCACAAGGCAAGGAAACAGGAGCUCUUCCCAUCACCCAGGAGAAUGCUCCAGUGUCACCAGUGACUCCUGCUCCCACAUCUGCCUACAGGAAGCCCUCUUGGAACAAAAGCAUCUCACUUCUGGGAGGCAUCAAGUCAAGGGAGAAGCAGUGAUGUUUUAGUAUCCAGAAAGUGGAAAUAACCCAAAUGCCCAUCAACAGCAGAAUGAAAUUGUACUAUAUUCACACCAUGGAAUAUUGUAUAGCAAAGAGAAUGAAUGAACUAUUAACAGAAAAGACAUGGACAAAUCUCAUAAACAUGAUGCUGAAAGAAACCACAGUCAAAAAAGAAGAUGCUUCCCAACCUUUUGCAGACCAUGGCAUACGCAGAAAAUGACAACAUCGGAAUGGCACACUGGCAUACCAGUUGGGGAUCCUUGCAGUCAAUGCUGACUGGACUCAUCCUUCAGCCGCCCCCAAGAAGAGAGAGAUCAAUACCUUGGCACAUCUGUGGGAAAGCUCCCAUUAGAGAGUGUGGGGAAGACACAGGCCUCCACAACACAUUUCAGGUUCUCUAAACUGGCAAAGGGGAAGAGUCUGGGCUUCCUUUGCCCUUUUGUUCUCAAAGAGCCCAGCUGUGCACACCCCUCACCCCUGCACUAUAGCUCCCAUUUGGGUAGUGAAAAAUCACAGGACUCAGGGGAGUUAUGCAGCAUUCGGGAAUGGAGACCUGGAAAGCCACACACUCCUCCUUGCUUUCCUGUGAGCCUCUCUUCUUGCUGUCCCCUUUACAACCAACAGUCCCUGCAGGGGGAAGACACUCUGCUUUAGUCAGUUCCACCUCCCUUCCAGAUCUCAUCCUCCUUUCAGCCUAAUUUUCCUCACACUGUCAUGCUCCUUCCCACUGCUCGCCCCCCACCCCCUACUCUCCUCCAGCACAUCACACAUUGCGCCUGGGCACACUGAGCUUGUCUGCCAUCUAUGAAGAGGCCCAUGUCACCCAAGCCCUUCUCUUUCCCUGUCAUGCCAUAGCCUCUUCCAGGAGCGCUCAGCCUGCUGUUUCUGCUCAGACCUCCCCUCCUCUGCAAAGCCUCCUUCUGCGUGCUGCCCGAGAGCCAUCCCCCACUUGGGUUUGUGUUACUGCUGUGUAUGGCAGCAUCUUCACUGUGCCUGAUUUCCCGUCUUGGCCCAUCGUAGGUGCUCAACAAUUGUUUCUCAAAUGACCAGCGCCUGCAGAGGGACCCUGACAUGAACUCCACCCCACCCCGACUCUUGGCAGUUACUCACUGUCCCCUUGAGUCGGGAUCCCAGCCCCUCAGGGGACCUGUCUUGCAGCCAUUCCACGCUCUGUCACCCCACUGCCAGGAGACUAGAGCCACACUGCCUGGAUGACGCUCAUCUUUACCAGCUCGCAGCUCUGCCAGCUGCCUGCUCAGGGGUGGCCGCCAGCUGAGGGAUUGAGCUGAUUAUAGGUGAAUCAGCACCAGGCUGAUUGUGGUGUGAAAAAGGGGAAGGGUGACUGUGUCUUAGCCUCAAUCCUGGCUCCCCUCCUUCCAGCCCUGACCUGCAGUAACAGCACAGGGCCACCAGAGGCUCUAUUGGGCGACUCAUGCCCCGCGGAGAAAGGCCCAGUAGGAGAGCAUCUGACCCAGUUCCCAGCAGAUGAGAAAGGAAGAAGAGUUCAGGAGGCUUCUACUCUCAGAGGUCUCCAGCACUGAAACCCCGCAGCCGCACCUGGCUGCCUUAUCCUUGUGUUUUGCCCCUCAUGGGUCUAGAAGCUGUUGUGUUACACCUUAACAUCUUCCUCCUUGCUUGCCAUGAGCCCCUCUGCUUGCAGCCCCCUUUACAGAACAACAGUCAUGGUAGAGGGAAGAUGUCUCCACUUUUGUCAGUUCUGCCUCCUUUAGGAGAGUGUCAGGCCUAACCCAUGUGUGCUCUGUCUUUCAGGGCAUGGAAAAGACUAUUGUCCUGUUUCGUCUUUUCAACACCUCUUGACUCUCUCCCCCUGGUUUCCUAACAGCCAGCUAGGUUCAGGGCCUCCCAUCUCUGGCCAGGAUUAGUGCAAUGGCUUUCUGAAGGGUCCCAGGCUCCAGGGAGCCCCUUGCCCAUCAAGUCUCUACCCUGGAGCCAGACAGCCCUUACUUCCAUCAGACAUCAGCCUCCAGUGGCUCCGAAAGGCCAGGCAUCCACACAGCACCCCACGGCCCCAAGAACUGGCUGCUUGAUUUUCCUGCCCUGUGUCCCUCCUCUCCUUGGCCCUCUACCCAGCAAUCACCCCAAAACACUGUGAUGUUUCAAGCCUUUGUACUUUGCACACAUUCUUCUCCAUGGCCUAAUUCCCUCUCUCCACCCCUCACUCCACACCUCCUCCACCUUUACCCUUUCUCCCCAUUCUUUCUUCACCGGGCACAGCCCUACUUAUCCUUCAAAACUGCCACUUCCUCUGCGAAGCCUUUCCUGACCCGUGUCCCAGAAUCCCUCCUCUGAACAAAUCCUGUUCCCUAAACAUGCAUCUCUCAUUGUAUCUGUCACUCAAGGGUUGCAAUAAUUACACACACGCCUGUCCUUUGUCCUCCACUGGCUCUGUACCUCCAUGUGGGACCCAUGGCCAGCACACAUUGGUGGUGCCCGAAAGCUGUUGCACUGGAGUUGUUCCUUCUGCCCCAUCACCUCCCACCUUGAACAAGUCCUUUAGAUGACCUGAACUCCAGUUUGUUGAUCUGCAAAAUGGAGAGAUGUGAGAAUCAGAAGAGAACACGUAAUGAAAGGGUGUUAUAAACUGCUAAGGGCUGUACAAAUGUUUGUAUUGCAUUUUUGUCUUCCAGACUAGUGUUUACCUACACUUGCCUGUGUGGAAAUCAGAAGAUUAAAGGAAUGCGAUGUGA